Non-coding RNA from Moraxella catarrhalis BBH18, 359 nucleotides. NCBI's taxonomy places the organism in Bacteria, Pseudomonadati, Pseudomonadota, Gammaproteobacteria, Moraxellales, Moraxellaceae. The record is from Rfam.
GGGGAUGUUCUGGCUUCGACGCUGGUAGCGAAACCUAAUGAUGCAUGUCAAGAGCGUGUGACUCUUGUAAAUCAACAUACAUUUAAAAUAGUCGCAAACGACGAAACUUACGCACUAGCAGCUUAAGGGCUGCUUAGGACGGCACAAAUUGCCUUUGGUUUGGUUGCUCUCCUAGAUGCGAAUGCACAAAGGAUAGCCAAAAUUAGCGUUGCGAUGAUUUUGGCGAAAUUCUUAGCAAAUCGUCCAAGCCAUCCUGACUGUCGGUUCGGUGCGGAUUAAAGCCAUAGACAGAAUCUAAGCAUGUAGAUUCAUAGAUGUAGUACUGGCGGACGCGGGUUCGACUCCCGCCAUCUCCACCA